Molecule: long non-coding RNA, 1520 nt
Filed under: Triticum aestivum (bread wheat)
Lineage: Eukaryota; Viridiplantae; Streptophyta; Magnoliopsida; Poales; Poaceae
Description: long non-coding RNA (TAES_LNC002854)
Source: RNAcentral
AGUAGUUUCGCUGCACUGAGAGCGCUCUGCUGAUGUUGCACAGCAAGGCCUGCUCGUGCUGCUCUUGUAUGCUCGGUCUGUCGAGUGUCCGGAAAGAAGAAAAAGUGUAGAGCUGCAACAACAGCAGCUUCAGGUGUUGAUGUGCUCUCAAGGAAUCCCUCCAUGUCGGAGAAUUCGGUCUCCGGUUUCUUAUAACAUAGAUAAGAUAAAUAGCAAUUUCUUAGUCUGUGUUGCUACUCAUGAAUUUUUUUGAGACCACCGAUGUGGUUAAUAAAAAGAUCAAAAAGUUCAGCAUAACUCAGACCUGAGGUGUCAACUUUGUUGGUUUAAUUCCUCUAGUGCAUGUCAGCCAAACUGAAAUUGUAAGUUGGAUUUUUUUAUGGACGAUUGAUAAUUAACAAUCAUGUUAGAUUAUGUAAAGACCCGGUGGACAGGUAAGUUGAUUUAGCCAAGCGCAGUGCAGAUUCCGUGUAGAUUUCUAAGCUAAAUUUUCCUUGCAUUACAUAGAGUGCCCAUUUUGCGGACUAUGAAUUAAGUGCUUUGGCUGGAUCUGCGCAAAUGGAAUAUGCAUACAGCUCCCAAUCUAGGAUUGGUUUCGAUUCAGAGUCGUCCAGGCAAACCUUGCAGCCAAGUGUGCGGCUCUCGGUGUCUAUGGAUCUUGAUCAUGGAGCAGAUAAUGAGGAGCUUAGGGUGCUGCAGCCUUUAUGCGAUGGGACAUUUGAGAAGCAGGUCACUGUUAUUCAAGACCAAGAAGAGAGUGAGGCUGCUGUUUCGGUUCAGAACAGGCAAGACAGAUCCCCGAGCUCCAUAAUCUGAUACCUCCCUGGCAAUAAGAAAAAUAAUUAGUUGUAGGCAAGUAACUAGAGUGUUUGGUGCAAUCUGUCUAUGGGGAAUCAUAUAUAAUUGUUUGGUUUCAGUGAUGUGACUAUAGCCUCGGAAUGAAACAUCAUGUUGUCCGAAUAUUUGUCUGUGCAUUGCAUAAUUCCAUGGAUAGUUCACGCGGGUUAAUUUGUUGUUUCAUAUGCACAUAUUGAUUAAAUAAACUCUUCCAAUAUAGUUAAUUGUACUGCUGGAUUUUGGUGGUCAUUCUAAAUGUACAAAUUUGUUGUGCGGAUCUCUGAACUAAUAUGGAUCUGUAUACGAACUAUAACUCAACACUAUAUCUAGUUCUUGCUAUCAGCUUGAUUUUGGUGGUCCAAGUGGAUAUAUACACUAGUCAUGCAGCCACACUCUGCACUAUUUGGUUAAUGAGAACGGGAGGAGCACAACACUGACCCCAUCUCUUAUCUCAGCCAGCUUCAGGUCCACCAUGGCCACCUACACCGAGCACCAUAUCACGCCCCGAGCUUCGUUGUCGACUCAUCUACACCAACCCAAUCACCACAAACAGGGAUAUCAGAACAGUUCAUGACAUAAUUAUACCACUUAUUAGUUGGGGAAAAAGGAAACUUUGAUGUACCUAGGCUUAGACAACCACGUUUUGUCCAUGAUGCACCCUUAAUAUCAAAUGUGUCAAGUAU